RNAcentral lists this long non-coding RNA (856 nucleotides) under Marmota monax (woodchuck). Lineage: Eukaryota; Metazoa; Chordata; Mammalia; Rodentia; Sciuridae. The record is from RNAcentral.
GUACUUGCUCCCCAAAGCCUCCCCUGACUAAUUGUCUUAACUGUUUCUCUUCCCACCUAAAGACAAUAGCCCCCAUCUAUUGAGCUUCUAUAAUGGGCCAGAUCUGAACCAAGGAUGUUAGUCAGUUUUCCAUCACUAUAACAAAUACUUGAGAUAAAUCAACUUAAAAAGAGGAAAGGUUUAUUUUAGCUCAUGGUUUCCAAGGUUUCAGUCUCUGGUCAGUUGGCCUCAUUGCUUUGGGGCCUAUGGAAAGUCAGCAUACCAUGGUUGAAACAUGUGGUAGAGGAAGCUACUUACCUCAUGGCAGGAAUGAAAGAGGAAGGAAAAAGGGUCUGGGGUCCCAAUCUCCUUUAAGGUCAUGCCCCCCAGUAAACUAACUUCCUCUAAUUAGGCCCCACUUCCUAAAGGUUCCACCACCAUUUGGGCUGGGGACCAAAACUUCAACACAUGAGCCUUUGGAGACAUUCCAGAUUCAGAUGAUGGCACAAUGUCUUUACAGCACACACACACACACACACACGCACACAACACACACACACACACACACACACCUGGGCACAUGUAUAUUUGUUUUCUAACUUGGCAAGUGAUGAAAAGGGCAUUUCUAUAUUACCAGUUUUCAUCUUCUCCAACACCUCCCCCACCUUCCCACUUUACCCAUCCCCUCCUGCCUCAAAUGACAGUAGUGGAGAACAUUAUUUAGAAGAAAAAGGUAUGGAUGUAUUCAUGCACAAAAUUACAAUUAAACUCUUUUUUUAUGGGGGGGAGGUACCAGGGAUUGAACUCAGGGGCAGUCGACCACUGAGCCAUAUCCCUAGCCAUAUUUUGCAUCUGAUUUAGAGACAGGGUCUCACUG